AUAGCCCAGCACCGAAGCCUGUGGUUAUUUGAUCACUAGGCAAUGUGGUGUUCAGGUUAUCUCGCAGAAGUGCUGCUCCACCCUAAGUCCAAAAAUGAGUACGGUAAUAUGGACACGGCCCACAGAGGGUGAAAGGCCCGUGGGGGUGGAGACUCGGUAGGCCAGCACUUCUCUGAGCAGACCUUCGAGUCGGGUUGUUUGAGAUUGCAGCCCAAAGCGGGUGGUAGACUCCAUCCAAGGCUAAAUACUUGCACGAGUCCGAUAGCGAACAAGUACCGUGAGGGAAAGUUGAAAAGUACUUUGAAGAGAGAGUAAACAGUGCGUGAAACCGCUCAGAGGUAAACGGGUGGAGUUGAACUGCGAACCCUGAGAAUUCAACUGGUGAGUGUGGUUUGAACUUGGGCAUAGUGGCUGGCUUUGCGAGUCUGCUUAGCUGCAGGUCUCCACCUCUUGGUGGGGAUGCGCGAGGCACUUGUGAAGUGUUGCGCGCUCGUUGAGCAAAUCGGGCCAACUUGCCAGUGCACUUUCUCGGGGUGUUCACCACGACCGGCGCCGCCAUUGGUCCAAUAUGAUCGAACCGGUUUUUCUGGGUCCUUGUGGCUCUGUUCAAUCGGGAUGGCAGGUAACUCGUUGGCUUGUGUGUUGGCCUCGGUUGACAUACGCUUGGCCUUCGAGUGUAAUCAGCCGAUUGUGUUGGCACUAUGUGGCGCGUCGGAGACGGCGGCUUGUGGUGUGUGCCUACGUGCCUAUUUCACUGACGAGGCCGAGUUUGGUUAUCAUGUUGCCAGUUCUCCUGGCCUGAUGAUAGCUCGGCUUUGCUUGGUGUAUGGUGGCGUGUGUGACACCUAUCAGGGCCUAUAGUCUGUGGUGUUGUGGUAGACUAUCCACCUGACCCGUCUUGAAACACGGACCAAGGAGAGUAACAUGUGCGCGAGUCAUUGAGCAUUACGAAACUCAAAGGCGAAGUGAAAGUAAAGACUCGACUUGUUCGAGUUGUGGUGAGAUCCUGUCGUUUCUCAUGCGCGGUACUACCAAGCAUUCGAGCGAUAGGCGCAUCACCGGCCCGUCCCAUGGUGUGGUCACUGUCUUCGGAUUAGUGCGUCACCGGGGCGGAGCAUGAGCGCACAUGUUGAGACCCGAAAGAUGGUGAACUAUGCUUGCUCAGGUUGAAGCCAGAGGAAACUCUGGUGGAGGACCGCAGCGAUUCUGACGUGCAAAUCGAUCGUCAAAAGUGAGUAUAGGGGCGAAAGACUA
Molecule: ribosomal RNA, 1254 nt
Filed under: Pyelosomum cochlear
Lineage: Eukaryota; Metazoa; Platyhelminthes; Trematoda; Pronocephalidae
Description: partial large subunit ribosomal RNA
Rfam family: Eukaryotic large subunit ribosomal RNA
Source: RNAcentral